Molecule: ribosomal RNA, 268 nt
Filed under: uncultured bacterium
Lineage: Bacteria
Description: partial 16S ribosomal RNA
Source: RNAcentral
CUGCUGCCUUCCGUAGGAGUCUGGUCCGUGUCUCAGUACCAGUGUGGGGGACCUUCCUCUCAGAACCCCUAUCCAUCGUGGACUUGGUGAGCCGUUACCUCACCAACUAUCUAAUGGAACGCAUGCCCAUCUAUCAGCGAUAAUUCUUUAACAAAUAUUUCCAUGUGGAACCCCUGUUUUAUGCGGUAUUAGUCCGACUUUCGCCGGGUUACGUUCCCCUUCCUGAUAGGUAGGUUGCAUACGCGUUACUCACCCGUCGCGCCGGUCG